Molecule: unclassified non-coding RNA, 1924 nt
Filed under: Homo sapiens (human)
Lineage: Eukaryota; Metazoa; Chordata; Mammalia; Primates; Hominidae
Description: leukocyte immunoglobulin like receptor B3 (ENSG00000275019.5)
Source: RNAcentral
CCAUGACGCCCGCCCUCACAGCCCUGCUCUGCCUUGGGCUGAGUCUGGGCCCCAGGACCCGCGUGCAGGCAGGGCCCUUCCCCAAACCCACCCUCUGGGCUGAGCCAGGCUCUGUGAUCAGCUGGGGGAGCCCCGUGACCAUCUGGUGUCAGGGGAGCCUGGAGGCCCAGGAGUACCGACUGGAUAAAGAGGGAAGCCCAGAGCCCUUGGACAGAAAUAACCCACUGGAACCCAAGAACAAGGCCAGAUUCUCCAUCCCAUCCAUGACAGAGCACCAUGCGGGGAGAUACCGCUGCCACUAUUACAGCUCUGCAGGCUGGUCAGAGCCCAGCGACCCCCUGGAGCUGGUGAUGACAGGAUUCUACAACAAACCCACCCUCUCAGCCCUGCCCAGCCCUGUGGUGGCCUCAGGGGGGAAUAUGACCCUCCGAUGUGGCUCACAGAAGGGAUAUCACCAUUUUGUUCUGAUGAAGGAAGGAGAACACCAGCUCCCCCGGACCCUGGACUCACAGCAGCUCCACAGUGGGGGGUUCCAGGCCCUGUUCCCUGUGGGCCCCGUGAACCCCAGCCACAGGCGUGUCUAGGAAGCCCUCCCUCCUGACCCUGCAGGGCCCUGUCCUGGCCCCUGGGCAGAGCCUGACCCUCCAGUGUGGCUCUGAUGUCGGCUACGACAGAUUUGUUCUGUAUAAGGAGGGGGAACGUGACUUCCUCCAGCGCCCUGGCCAGCAGCCCCAGGCUGGGCUCUCCCAGGCCAACUUCACCCUGGGCCCUGUGAGCCCCUCCCACGGGGGCCAGUACAGGUGCUAUGGUGCACACAACCUCUCCUCCGAGUGGUCGGCCCCCAGCGACCCCCUGAACAUCCUGAUGGCAGGACAGAUCUAUGACACCGUCUCCCUGUCAGCACAGCCGGGCCCCACAGUGGCCUCAGGAGAGAACGUGACCCUGCUGUGUCAGUCAUGGUGGCAGUUUGACACUUUCCUUCUGACCAAAGAAGGGGCAGCCCAUCCCCCACUGCGUCUGAGAUCAAUGUACGGAGCUCAUAAGUACCAGGCUGAAUUCCCCAUGAGUCCUGUGACCUCAGCCCACGCGGGGACCUACAGGUGCUACGGCUCAUACAGCUCCAACCCCCACCUGCUGUCUUUCCCCAGUGAGCCCCUGGAACUCAUGGUCUCAGGACACUCUGGAGGCUCCAGCCUCCCACCCACAGGGCCGCCCUCCACACCUGGUCUGGGAAGAUACCUGGAGGUUUUGAUUGGGGUCUCGGUGGCCUUCGUCCUGCUGCUCUUCCUCCUCCUCUUCCUCCUCCUCCGACGUCAGCGUCACAGCAAACACAGGACAUCUGACCAGAGAAAGACUGAUUUCCAGCGUCCUGCAGGGGCUGCGGAGACAGAGCCCAAGGACAGGGGCCUGCUGAGGAGGUCCAGCCCAGCUGCUGACGUCCAGGAAGAAAACCUCUAGCCCACACGAUGAAGACCCCCAGGCAGUGACGUAUGCCCCGGUGAAACACUCCAGUCCUAGGAGAGAAAUGGCCUCUCCUCCCUCCUCACUGUCUGGGGAAUUCCUGGACACAAAGGACAGACAGGUGGAAGAGGACAGGCAGAUGGACACUGAGGCUGCUGCAUCUGAAGCCUCCCAGGAUGUGACCUACGCCCAGCUGCACAGCUUGACCCUUAGACGGAAGGCAACUGAGCCUCCUCCAUCCCAGGAAGGGGAACCUCCAGCUGAGCCCAGCAUCUACGCCACUCUGGCCAUCCACUAGCCCGGGGGGUACGCAGACCCCACACUCAGCAGAAGGAGACUCAGGACUGCUGAAGGCACGGGAGCUGCCCCCAGUGGACACCAGUGAACCCCAGUCAGCCUGGACCCCUAACACAGACCAUGAGGAGACGCUGGGAACUUGUGGGACUCACCUGACUCAAAGAUG